CGAACCUGGGACCCUUCAGUCUGCAGGCCGGCGCUCUAUCCACUGAGCUACCCAGCCAAGGCCAUAGUAAACUUUUUAAUAUGUUUCUUUUAACCUGGCUGUCCCUGCUAGGCUACAAUUCUUCAUAAUUGUUAUUAUUCUGUGGAGACAUAUGUAAGAACAAGAAAAGGGAGAGAGAUUUCUAUUAGAUGUGGUCUUUGUCUUCUGCAGAUCACUUUACCACAAAUAAUGAAUACAACAACAAUAUUUGGGCAGUAUUCUGUUUAUUCAUAAAGCUAAAAUUCAAACUGUAUAAAAGGAUAUCGUACAGAAUGCUGUUGAUGAAAAAUGAAAUGUGGCUCCUUUAGUGACUGGCCAUACAGAAUUUCACUGGGAUACUUGGCUUUUCCAAUCAACACCACGGAACUUGGAGGUCGGAUGGCUUUGCGCCCGCAGGAGGGACCCAGAAGGCCAGUCCAGGGGGAGCUCAGGGAGAAGGGACGCUUUGUGGGUGCGGAUCCCGAGUCCCUCCCGAGGCGCAGCGCGAACUGAGCAGCGCUGUGGGCGCGCUGAUUGAGGACGUCGUUCUGUCUGCAAACUUGGGCUGGCUGAGCUGCAGGAAUAGCACCCCGCUCCCUGCCCUCCCAGGUCCCAGCACCAACACUGGCCCGGGGGCGAUGCAGACACCUGGUCCGCGCGCACAGAACCCUGGUUCUAGUAAACACGUUACCAAUCGCUCGGAAGAGCCAGCGUUCCCGCGGGGAGAGAAAGACUCUUCACUGGAGAGUUGCUUUUCCUCUUAAACCAAGUUACUGUCUCCUCGUUUUCCCUCCUGUUCCCCUACCAUCUACGGUGCCCAAAGUCUGGUAUAAAAAGGCCAAAUUUAAAGCAACUGCCGCUCCUCGGCUUGGCGAUCAAGGGGCCUCCGAGUUAUAAAUGCCAACACAGAGCGCGCAGGAAACGGGCUCAUUUAUUUUGCUCACACAACAAAAAAAUGUUAAUUGAUGUAAAGUUGCUUGGCACGUGGAUAAUUUAGUCUGACCCACAUUUUAAUUAAAAGAAAACUUAUGAUGUU
Molecule: long non-coding RNA, 1054 nt
Organism: Myotis myotis
Lineage: Eukaryota; Metazoa; Chordata; Mammalia; Chiroptera; Vespertilionidae
Exons: 2
Source: RefSeq, a predicted model, not a curated record